This 312-nucleotide ribosomal RNA is filed under the name Triticum aestivum (bread wheat). RNAcentral describes it as "partial small subunit ribosomal RNA". Lineage: Eukaryota; Viridiplantae; Streptophyta; Magnoliopsida; Poales; Poaceae. The record is from RNAcentral.
AUGGUGGCCACGUCCACAAUACAGGGGCCGUUAGCGCCAGGCCCACCGCAUGCAACUCCACAGACGCUCUGGACCACUCGCCACAAUUCUCGUUCAGUUGUGGCUCUUUUAUUAGUAGAGAUAGGAGAGUUAUGUAAUAAUUUUACUUUGUUCGAUAUUCAGCAUGUAACCAGGUUAGCUAACAUUCCGGCGCAUCUCUGUGCAAAGCGUGCUUGCACUCUGAAUGUGACCGGUAGCUGGCUUGACGAAACCCCUAGCUUCUUAGUGACCAGCUUAUUGGCUGAUUGUCCUAAGAAUGCCUUCAUAGAAUAA